This 278-nucleotide long non-coding RNA is filed under the name Elaeis guineensis (African oil palm). Its description in RNAcentral is "long non-coding RNA (EGUI_LNC062973)". The record is from RNAcentral. Lineage: Eukaryota; Viridiplantae; Streptophyta; Magnoliopsida; Arecales; Arecaceae.
GGAGCCGAUGAGAGGAGGAAGAAGACUCCCUUCGGGAGUUCUUCUCCUUUGUUUUUCUUUUUUUUGUUUUUGUUUGGGCUUUGGCUGAUUCUGGGCUGGGAUUCAUUACAUGGGCCGGCCAUGACAGAUGCAAAAUGGGAGAAGACAUGCAUCCCGCCACAAUACUCUGUGUAAAACCUCUUCCAAACCAAACCAACGACCAAGUCGGUCCCAAAUCCCAAUGCCCUCUUCUUGCACCCACCCAACUCUCUCUCUCUCUUUCUCUCCAACCCAGAGGC